This 53-nucleotide small nucleolar RNA is filed under the name Drosophila melanogaster (fruit fly). Its description in RNAcentral is "partial small nucleolar RNA snoR708". Lineage: Eukaryota; Metazoa; Arthropoda; Insecta; Diptera; Drosophilidae. The record is from RNAcentral.
CAGCGGCCUGCUGCUUUCAAUGAGCUAGUCUCUACCUGUAGCCUGGCACAGAU